GAUAUGGUAUUUUCAGUUGGAUUUAAAAUUUAAGAGAGAAAUGUUGGUGGUAUUUUUGGUGAUUCAGUCACAAUGGUUUCAGAUGUUAUUGGUACAUGAGUAAUGGUUGUUUCAUAUACAAUUGGUUGUUUUUGUUUGGGAUUUGAGAUUGUUCCAAAUGGAAUUAAAAUAGAUGGUAUUGGUGUUGAGUGGGUUGGAGAGGAG
RNAcentral lists this long non-coding RNA (204 nucleotides) under Lathyrus oleraceus (garden pea). Its description in RNAcentral is "Pisum sativum (pea) long non-coding RNA (PSAT_LNC012925)". Lineage: Eukaryota; Viridiplantae; Streptophyta; Magnoliopsida; Fabales; Fabaceae. The record is from RNAcentral.